This 414-nucleotide ribosomal RNA is filed under the name uncultured microorganism. RNAcentral's name for it is "bacterial SSU rRNA". It matches the Rfam family "Archaeal small subunit ribosomal RNA", at positions 459 to 872 of the family's 1478-position model. The record is from RNAcentral.
CAGCAGCCGCGGUAAUACCGGCGGCCCGAGUGGCGGCCACUAUUAUUGGGCUUAAAGCGUCCGUAGCCGGGUUGGUUAGUCUCCCGGGAAAUCUGGCCGCUUAACGGUCAGAAUUCCGGGAGAUACUGCCAGCCUAGGGACCGGGAGAGGCCGAGGGUAUUCCCGGAGUAGGGGUGAAAUCCUAUAAUCCCGGGAGGACCACCUGUGGCGAAGGCGCUCGGCUGGAACGGGUCCGACGGUGAGGGACGAAGGCCAGGGGAGCAAACCGGAUUAGAUACCCGGGUAGUCCUGGCGGUAAACGAUGCGGACUUUGUGUCGGACAAGCUAUGAGCUUGUCCGGUGCCGGAGGGAAACCGUUAAGUCCGCCGCCUGGGGAGUACGGCCGCAAGGUUGAAACUUAAAGGAAUUGGCGGG